AAAUGAGGCUGUCCAUUUUAAGGACUAGAAGGAAGUCUGAAGUCCCUCUGGACCCGCAACCUCACAUGUUUUAAGCUCCCCUGUGCCUCUUGUGUCCUCACAGCUAUCUCCAGACUGCACCAAUUGCAAUGGGAAUUUAAAUGCUGUCAUCCAGAUUUCUGUCUUAAUCUCUGGACGCAGGGAUGUCUCUGUCCAAGUCAUAUGGGGGCUUGUCAGGUAAGGCUAGGAGCAGUUCUCCACUUCACAGCUGGGCUGGCAGUGGG
This 263-nucleotide long non-coding RNA is filed under the name Anser brachyrhynchus (Pink-footed goose). Its description in RNAcentral is "lncRNA (ENSABRG00000014340.1)". Lineage: Eukaryota; Metazoa; Chordata; Aves; Anseriformes; Anatidae. The record is from RNAcentral.